Molecule: ribosomal RNA, 497 nt
Filed under: uncultured bacterium
Lineage: Bacteria
Description: partial 16S ribosomal RNA
Rfam family: Bacterial small subunit ribosomal RNA
Source: RNAcentral
GAUGAACGCUGGCGGCGUGCCUAAUACAUGCAAGUCGAGCGAACGGACGAGAAGCUUGCUUUUCUGAUGUUAGCGGCUGACGGGUGAGUAACACGUGGAUAACCUACCUAUAAGACUGGGAUAACUUCGGGAAACCGGAGCUAAUACCGGAUAAUAUUUUGAACCGCAUGGUUCAAAAGUGAAAGACGGUCUUGCUGUCACUUAUAGAUGGAUCCGCGCUGCAUUAGCUAGUUGGUAAGGUAACGGCUUACCAAGGCAACGAUGCAUAGCCGACCUGAGAGGGUGAUCGGCCACACUGGAACUGAGACACGGUCCAGACUCCUACGGGAGGCAGCAGUAGGGAAUCUUCCGCAAUGGGCGAAAGCCUGACGGAGCAACGCCGCGUGAGUGAUGAAGGUCUUCGGAUCGUAAAACUCUGUUAUUAGGGAAGAACAUAUGUGUAAGUAACUGUGCACAUCUUGACGGUACCUAAUCAGAAAGCCACGGCUAACUACGUG